AGAGGCUUAUAGCUCCAAGCCCUGAAAUAGAGGAGUUUAUGGCUUCAGGCUCUGUAGACCAGAG
RNAcentral lists this microRNA precursor (64 nucleotides) under Dipodomys ordii (Ord's kangaroo rat). RNAcentral describes it as "miRNA (ENSDORG00000026729.1)". Lineage: Eukaryota; Metazoa; Chordata; Mammalia; Rodentia; Heteromyidae. The record is from RNAcentral.